GGGUAUUUUAAGAGCAAUGCGAUUUUAAUCAUCCUGUAAAGACCCGAUCCUGAAGGAACUAGAUGAACCGUGAACAUUGCUGAAUGUAAUAUCACAUUUGAGAAUAAUACUCUUAAUCCAAUUCUAAAAACAAUAUCUUAUAAUUAAAAAUAAUAACUUAAAUUCUUGAAUAAGCCGAAGCAAGUACGAUUAAUGUAACUGAAAUCCAAAUAGAUCCAAAGAAAAACUCCCAAAACGCCACACCACUUGGAACUACUCUUUUUAUUCCUCAAACUCAUUCUCAUUGAACUCACCUGAAAAAGAAGAAAGAGGUAAGUAAUCGGAGAAUUACUCAACGAGCAAAAACCGAGAGCUCAUUUUCAUUCCCACUUAUCUCCAACCAACAAACCAAGAAUAAAUAUAAACAAGCAAUCAAACAUCGCACUCUAGAAGUGCACACACACACAAUUAACAAACAAGAGGGGUGCCACCAUAUAUCUCAUUAUUCAUCUCUUGAGCCCAUUGCUCAUAGCAUAAAUGUGUUACACAGACUAUCAUAAGGGCUUGUCAAAACCCUCCACGGUGGUAAGUACUGCAGUCCCCUCUAGGCGGCUCGUCAGCCCUAUCAAACAAGUCUGUACCACAAGUGCCUCUAUCAUUUGUGACGUAUACUUCGUCUAACUACAUUACACACACUAAUCAAUCAACAAGGUUAUCACACAAGUAUGCUGAUUCUUUCUCUAAUGAGAUCUUAGUCCAGAUUCAAUUAUAAGAUGCAGAUCUAACAUAUGCAACAUAGAAGCAUGCCUGUACUUUGUAUCACACAGUAUACCUGAGUAUACUUAGACUCAACAAGUACGAAAAAGAUAAGAGAACAUAAAAAUAAGCCUGGAUCUAAUCCUCGCCUUGACAGUUGAGCAGAUCAAAUCUUGAAGACGAGUGACAAAAGGAUCAAUAAAAUGACAAGAAGGCUGAGACUCGACGGUGACUUUUUAUUUUUCCAGCAGCGACGGCGGACGGCGUCAGACGGCAACAGCAGCGGCUGACCAGAGCUUCUCUCUCUCUCCCUCUCUCUCUCUCUAUCUCUCUCUCUA
Molecule: long non-coding RNA, 1073 nt
Filed under: Eutrema salsugineum
Lineage: Eukaryota; Viridiplantae; Streptophyta; Magnoliopsida; Brassicales; Brassicaceae
Description: long non-coding RNA (ESAL_LNC000953)
Source: RNAcentral